AGGCUUAACACAUGCAAGUCGAGCGCCCCGCAAGGGGAGCGGCAGACGGGUGAGUAACGCGUGGGAACGUACCCUUUACUACGGAAUAACGCAGGGAAACUUGUGCUAAUACCGUAUGUGCCCUUUGGGGGAAAGAUUUAUCGGUAAAGGAUCGGCCCGCGUUGGAUUAGCUAGUUGGUGGGGUAAAGGCCUACCAAGGCGACGAUCCAUAGCUGGUCUGAGAGGAUGAUCAGCCACAUUGGGACUGAGACACGGCCCAAACUCCUACGGGAGGCAGCAGUGGGGAAUAUUGGACAAUGGGCGCAAGCCUGAUCCAGCCAUGCCGCGUGAGUGAUGAAGGCCCUAGGGUUGUAAAGCUCUUUCACCGGAGAAGAUAAUGACGGUAUCCGGAGAAGAAGCCCCGGCUAACUUCGUGCCAGCAGCCGCGGUAAUACGAAGGGGGCUAGCGUUGUUCGGAAUUACUGGGCGUAAAGCGCACGUAGGCGGAUCGAUCAGUCAGGGGUGAAAUCCCAGGGCUCAACCCUGGAACUGCCUUUGAUACUGUCGAUCUGGAGUAUGGAAGAAGUGAAGUGGAAUUCCGAGUGUAGAGGUGAAAUUCGUAGAUAUUCGGA
Molecule: ribosomal RNA, 611 nt
Filed under: Rhizobium etli
Lineage: Bacteria; Pseudomonadati; Pseudomonadota; Alphaproteobacteria; Hyphomicrobiales; Rhizobiaceae
Description: bacterial SSU rRNA
Rfam family: Bacterial small subunit ribosomal RNA
Source: RNAcentral